UACGAAGGGGGCUAGCGUUGCUCGGAAUUACUGGGCGUAAAGGGCGCGUAGGCGGUCCGAUAAGUCCUGUGUGAAAUCCCUCGGCUCAACUGAGGAACUGCACGGGAGACUGUCGGGCUUGAGUUCGGGAGAGGGAAGCGGAAUUCCGGGUGUAGCGGUGAAAUGCGUAGAUAUCCGGAGGAACACCGGUGGCGAAGGCGGCUUCCUGGACCGACACUGACGCUGAGGCGCGAAAGCGUGGGGAGCGAACAGG
RNAcentral lists this ribosomal RNA (253 nucleotides) under uncultured bacterium. RNAcentral describes it as "partial 16S ribosomal RNA". It matches the Rfam family "Bacterial small subunit ribosomal RNA", at positions 524 to 776 of the family's 1533-position model. The record is from RNAcentral.